GACGAACGCUGGCGGCGUGCUUAACACAUGCAAGUCGAACGAUGAAGCGGUGCUUGCACCGUGGAUUAGUGGCGAACGGGUGAGUAAUACGUGAGUGACCUACCUUUGACUCUGGGAUAAGCCUGGGAAACUGGGUCUAAUACCGGAUACGACCAAUCUCUGCAUGGGGUGUUGGUGGAAAGCGUUAUGGAGUGGUUUUAGAUGUGCUCACGGCCUAUCAGCUUGUUGGUGAGGUAAUGGCUUACCAAGGCGACGACGGGUAGCCGGCCUGAGAGGGUGACCGGCCACACUGGGACUGAGACACGGCCCAGACUCCUACGGGAGGCAGCAGUGGGGAAUAUUGCACAAUGGGCGCAAGCCUGAUGCAGCGACGCCGCGUGAGGGAUGACGGCCUUCGGGUUGUAAACCUCUGUUAGCAUCGAAGAAGCGAAAGUGACGGUAGGUGCAGAGAAAGCGCCGGCUAACUACGUGCCAGCAGCCGCGGUAAUACGUAGGGCGCGAGCGUUGUCCGGAAUUAUUGGGCGUAAAGAGCUUGUAGGCGGUUGGUCGCGUCUGCUGUGAAAGGCCGGGGCUUAACUCCGGUUUUGCAGUGGGUACGGGCUAACUAGAGUGCAGUAGGGGAGACUGGAAUUCCUGGUGUAGCGGUGGAAUGCACAGAUAUCAGGAGGAACACCGAUGGCGAAGGCAGGUCUCUGGGCUGUAACCGACGCUGAGAAGCGAAAGCAUGGGGAGCGAACAGGAUUAGAUACCCUGGUAGUCCAUGCCGUAAACGUUGGGCACUAGGUGUGGGGGACAUUCCACGUUUUCCGCGCCGUAGCUAACGCAUUAAGUGCCCCGCCUGGGGAGUACGGCCGCAAGGCUAAAACUCAAAGGAAUUGACGGGGCCCGCACAAGCGGCGGAGCAUGCGGAUUAAUUCGAUGCAACGCGAAGAACCUUACCAAGGCUUGACAUGCAUUAGAUCGCGUCAGAGAUGGCGUUUCCCUUCGGGGCUGGUGUACAGGUGGUGCAUGGUUGUCGUCAGCUCGUGUCGUGAGAUGUUGGGUUAAGUCCCGCAACGAGCGCAACCCUCGUUCUAUGUUGCCAGCGGUUCGGCCGGGGACUCAUAGGAGACUGCCGGGGUUAACUCGGAGGAAGGUGGGGAUGACGUCAAAUCAUCAUGCCCCUUAUGUCUUGGGCUUCACGCAUGCUACAAUGGCCGGUACAGAGGGUUGCGAUACUGUGAGGUGGAGCUAAUCCCUUAAAGCCGGUCUCAGUUCGGAUUGGGGUCUGCAACUCGACCCCAUGAAGUCGGAGUCGCUAGUAAUCGCAGAUCAGCAACGCUGCGGUGAAUACGUUCCCGGGCCU
This 1345-nucleotide ribosomal RNA is filed under the name uncultured bacterium. Its description in RNAcentral is "bacterial SSU rRNA". It matches the Rfam family "Bacterial small subunit ribosomal RNA", at positions 28 to 1381 of the family's 1533-position model. The record is from RNAcentral.